UAGUCAAUGCUCGCAAGAGUGAACUAGCUAACUGAAAUCAUAAAGUUUCUUUAAACUUGUGAUGUCGUAAGGGAAAAUAAUGAUAAUACCUUACUAAUAGUGUCGUCCAAAUCUGGUGCCAGAAGACUCGGUAAGACCAGAGACGCAAACGUUAAUCAUCUUAAUCAGGCGUAAAGGGUUUGUAGGCAGCUUUCAUCUUAUUUAUAAAUUUUAAUAAUAUAAGGGACUACGAAUAAAAAAAUAAAAGUAGUUUUUAGAAAGCUAGAAUCAAAAAGAGGUUAUAGUGUAUAACGCCUAGAUGAGGGCUAAAAUCCUUAGAUCCUAGGCAGAGUACUAAAGGCGAAGGCCACUCUCCACUAAUGAUUGACGCUGAGAAACGAAGGYUAGGAUAGGAAAUAGGAUUAGAUACCCCGGUACUCCUUUCUGUAAACGAUGAAUGGUAGUCUUUAGUCCAAAAACUAGAAACGAAGUUAACACAAUAACCAUUCCGCCUUGUGAGUACUACUGCAAAGUAGAAAACAAAAAAAUUAGUCGGUCUCGAAGCAAACGGAGUGAAGCAUGUUAUUUAAU
This 570-nucleotide ribosomal RNA is filed under the name Picipes nigromarginatus. Its description in RNAcentral is "partial small subunit ribosomal RNA". It matches the Rfam family "Bacterial small subunit ribosomal RNA", at positions 365 to 950 of the family's 1533-position model. The record is from RNAcentral. Lineage: Eukaryota; Fungi; Basidiomycota; Agaricomycetes; Polyporales; Polyporaceae.